This 290-nucleotide long non-coding RNA is filed under the name Gossypium barbadense (sea-island cotton). Its description in RNAcentral is "long non-coding RNA (GBAR_LNC010073)". The record is from RNAcentral. Lineage: Eukaryota; Viridiplantae; Streptophyta; Magnoliopsida; Malvales; Malvaceae.
ACAAAUGCUUCACUCUACGUAUCAAGGAAUUAUUCCUAUCCGCUGCUGCUUCAUCUUUACCAAUAUUUGGUUGUCGCUUUCCACAAGCACGCGGCUAGACCCUCUCUCCCAUGCAGUCAACGAUCCCAUACCUUGACCUCCAGUGGACUAAUCCCUGCAAGAUGAAUGACGCUUGAGGUCGAGAGAUACAGUGUGCAAAUCUGUUCCAAUCCCAAUUGCCUUUAAUAUUAGUCAUAUAACUCACCAGAGUAUUAUCCACCACUCCAGCCGAGGCAAUCAUGUGAUUCUCG